Molecule: ribosomal RNA, 381 nt
Filed under: Anthocoridae sp. SJ-2010
Lineage: Eukaryota; Metazoa; Arthropoda; Insecta; Hemiptera; Anthocoridae
Description: eukaryotic LSU rRNA
Rfam family: Eukaryotic large subunit ribosomal RNA
Source: RNAcentral
GGGCGUCCAAUUCUCUUUGAGUAAGGGCGCACCUAUAGCGUACCCGCUGAUACCCGAAAGAUGGUGAACUAUGCCUGGCCAGGACGAAGCCAGGGGAAACCCUGGUGGAGGUCCGCAGCGAUUCUGACGUGCAAAUCGAUCGUCGGAGCUGGGUAUAGGGGCGAAAGACCAAUCGAACCAUCUAGUAGCUGGUUCCCUCUGAAGUUUCCCUCAGGAUAGCUUGCACUCGGUUGAGAUGAGUCUCAUCCGGUAGAGCGAAUGAUUAGAGGCCUUGGGGUCGAAACGACCUCAACCUAUUCUCAAACUCCAAAUAGAUGAGAUUCCCAGCUUGCUUGAAAGUGAAGCUGGGUUUCGGAUCAGAGUGCCAAGUGGGCCAAUUUU